Molecule: ribosomal RNA, 22 nt
Filed under: Meloidoderita polygoni
Lineage: Eukaryota; Metazoa; Nematoda; Chromadorea; Rhabditida; Sphaeronematidae
Description: partial 18S ribosomal RNA
Source: RNAcentral
UGAACCUGCUGCUGGAUCAUUA